This 305-nucleotide ribosomal RNA is filed under the name uncultured bacterium. RNAcentral's name for it is "bacterial SSU rRNA". It matches the Rfam family "Bacterial small subunit ribosomal RNA", at positions 335 to 638 of the family's 1533-position model. The record is from RNAcentral.
GUGCCUACGGGACGCAGCAGUGAGGAAUAUUGGUCAAUGGGCGGUAGCCUGAACCAGCCAAGUAGCGUGAAGGAUGAAGGUUCUAUGGAUUGUAAACUUCUUUUAUAAAGGAAUAAAGUGAGGCACGUGUGCCUUUUUGUAUGUACUUUAUGAAUAAGGAUCGGCUAACUCCGUGCCAGCAGCCGCGGUAAUACGGAGGAUGCGAGCGUUAUCCGGAUUUAUUGGGUUUAAAGGGUGCGUAGGCGGAAUAUCAAGUCAGCGGUAAAAAUUCGGGGCUCAACCCCGUCGUGCCGUUGAAACUGAUG